RNAcentral lists this ribosomal RNA (530 nucleotides) under Nonomuraea jabiensis. RNAcentral describes it as "bacterial SSU rRNA". It matches the Rfam family "Bacterial small subunit ribosomal RNA", at positions 31 to 581 of the family's 1533-position model. The record is from RNAcentral. Lineage: Bacteria; Bacillati; Actinomycetota; Actinomycetes; Streptosporangiales; Streptosporangiaceae.
GAACGCUGGCGGCGUGCUUAACACAUGCAAGUCGAGCGGAAAGGCCCUUCGGGGUACUCGAGCGGCGAACGGGUGAGUAACACGUGAGCAACCUGCCCCUGACUNUGGGAUAAGCCCGGGAAACUGGGUCUAAUACCGGAUACGACCGCCCCCGGCAUCGGGUGGUGGUGGAAAGUUUUUUCGGUUGGGGAUGGGCUCGCGGCCUAUCAGCUUGUUGGUGGGGUAGUGGCCUACCAAGGCGACGACGGGUAGCCGGCCUGAGAGGGCGACCGGCCACACUGGGACUGAGACACGGCCCAGACUCCUACGGGAGGCAGCAGUGGGGAAUAUUGCGCAAUGGGCGGAAGCCUGACGCAGCGACGCCGCGUGGGGGAUGACGGCCUUCGGGUUGUAAACCUCUUUCAGCAGGGACGAAGUUGACGUGUACCUGCAGAAGAAGCGCCGGCUAACUACGUGCCAGCAGCCGCGGUAAUACGUAGGGCGCAAGCGUUGUCCGGAAUUAUUGGGCGUAAAGAGCUCGUAGGUGGCUG